UACAGAGGUCCCAAGCGUUGUUCGGAUUCACUGGGCGUAAAGGGUGCGUAGGUGGCUUGGUAAGUCUGAUGUGAAAGCUCAGGGCUCAACCCUGAAAUGGCAUUGAAUACUGUCGGGCUUGAGGUCUGGAGGGGGGACUGGAAUUCUCGGUGUAGCAGUGAAAUGCGUAGAUAUCGAGAGGAACACCAGAGGUGAAGACGGGUUGCUGGGCUGACACUGACGCUGAGGCGCGAAAGCCAGGGGAGCAAACGGG
RNAcentral lists this ribosomal RNA (253 nucleotides) under uncultured bacterium. Its description in RNAcentral is "partial 16S ribosomal RNA". It matches the Rfam family "Bacterial small subunit ribosomal RNA", at positions 524 to 776 of the family's 1533-position model. The record is from RNAcentral.